CCUACGGGUGGCAGCAGUGGGGAAUAUUGGACAAUGGGGGGAACCCUGAUCCAGCCAUGCCGCGUGUGUGAAGAAGGCCCUCGGGUUGUAAAGCACUUUCAGUGAGGAAGAACGCCUGGUGGUUAAUACCCAUCAGGAAAGACAUCACUCACAGAAGAAGCACCGGCUAACUCCGUGCCAGCAGCCGCGGUAAUACGGAGGGUGCGAGCGUUAAUCGGAAUUACUGGGCGUAAAGCGCGCGUAGGUGGCUUGAUAAGCCGGUUGUGAAAGCCCCGGGCUCAACCUGGGAACGGCAUCCGGAACUGUCAAGCUAGAGUGCAGGAGAGGAAGGUAGAGUUCCCGGUGUAGCGGUGAAAUGCGUAGAGAUCGGGAGGAAGACCAGUGGCGAAGGCGGCCUUCUGGACUGACACUGACACUGAGGUGUGAAAGCGUGGGUAGCAAACAGGAUUAGAUACCCGAGUAGUC
RNAcentral lists this ribosomal RNA (465 nucleotides) under Vreelandella stevensii. RNAcentral describes it as "partial 16S ribosomal RNA". It matches the Rfam family "Bacterial small subunit ribosomal RNA", at positions 338 to 795 of the family's 1533-position model. Lineage: Bacteria; Pseudomonadati; Pseudomonadota; Gammaproteobacteria; Oceanospirillales; Halomonadaceae. The record is from RNAcentral.